CUUAACAGGACGAUUAUAUCUGCAGCUUUAUUUAGAGGAUUAGGAAGGCUCCACCGAUAUUGUAACAGCAGCUACUGUAUAUGCUCUCCACUUGAUAUAUAAGAAGACCCAUGGAACCAUUUUUUUCUCCUAGCUUGUGGAUAUGUGCCUGGAGUUUAACUCAUGGAUGGCAUUGUGUCUCCGGGCUCUUUUGAUCACUGAAAACAAUCUCGGACACCUGUGAUAAUUAGAUUGCCAGUGUAGAAUCGCUUGCAGCGCAUCAAAGACACGAGGACGCCGGUGUCCACUCCCGUACCAGCACAAGACUCACCUGUAUCUCCAUCUGCCAACCACCUCGGCGACCACCUUCCCAUAGGUCGGACGCUGUCCCAUGCCAGCCGAACACCGCAGACUAAACCUAGAGACCGAGAUCCUGCAGCAUCACAUAGACGGGCAUACUCCUUAGUACUGGACGCCACCGUGCCAGCCCUGACUGCCUAUCCCUCUACAUCUCCUACGGUCAGUGAGUUGUGCCGUGCACCAAUCUCAUAUUAUCCCAGUGUCACUAUACCACCAACGAGUAUUCACCAAAAUAAGAUGUUAUCCCUGGUUGCAUGAAUACUACUAUUAUUGAACUGUUACUUCUAUUAUUGAACUGUUACUACUAUUAUUGAACUGUUGCACUAUACUACCAACAAACUAUUUUAAUGAACUAUUACCGAACACUACUACAUUAUUGCUAAACUGUUGCACUUUACUACCAACAAAUUAUUCUAUGAACUAUUGCCAAAUAUUAAAUUGUUACAUUAUACCACUAACGAACUUUUACGUUGCUAUCCAUCUCAGUUAGCUUAUACUCCAGUUGGUAUAUACGCCUCAAUUAUCAGCAUAUUUUAAUGUAUUUUCAUUUUUACACAUUUUAUCAUUUCACAUAUUAUUUCCGUUUGAGCCGAUGCAAGGGCCCUGCUAAGGCGA
Hyla sarda is the source of this 954-nucleotide long non-coding RNA. RefSeq lists it as uncharacterized. The record is from RefSeq and is a predicted model, not a curated record. The transcript is spliced from 4 exons. Lineage: Eukaryota; Metazoa; Chordata; Amphibia; Anura; Hylidae.